AUGAACGCUCAGCGACAGGGCCUAACACAUGCAAGUCGAGGGGCAGCGCGGGUAGCAAUACCUGGCGGCGACCGGCGCACGGGUGCGUAACGCGUAUGCAACCUGCCCGCAACAGGGGUACAGCUCUCCGAAAGGGGAAUUAAUACCGCAUAAGACCGUAAUACAGCAUUGUAUAGCGGUAAAACAUUUAUGGGUUGCGGAUGGGCAUGCGUGACAUUAGCCAGAUGGCGGGGUAACAGCCCACCAUAGCUACGAUGUCUAGGGGUUCUGAGAGGAAGAUCCCCCACACCGGUACUGAGACACGGACCGGACUCCUACGGGAGGCAGCAGUGAGGAAUAUUGGUCAAUGGUCGCAAGACUGAACCAGCCAUGUCGCGUGCAGGAAGAAGGCUCUAUGGGUCUUAAACUGCUUUUAUACAGGAAGAAAGAGUAAUACGUGUAUUACACUGACCUAACUGUAAGAAUAAGCAUCGGCUAACUCCGUGCCAGCAGCCGCGGUAAUACGGAGGAUGCAAGCGUUAUCCGGAUUUAUUGGGUUUAAAGGGUGCGUAGGCGGACUUAUAAGUCAGUGGUGAAAUUUUUCGGCUCAACCGGGAGACUGCCGUUGAUACUGUUAGUCUUGAGUAUGUUCGAGGAAAACGGAAUGCGGCGUGUAGCGGUGAAAUGCUUAGAUAUGCCGCAGAACACCAAUUGCGAAGGCAGUUUUCCAGACCAUUACUGACGCUGAGGCACGAAAGCGCGGGUAUCAAACAGGAUUAGAUACCCUGGUAGUCCGCGCCGUAAACGAUGAUUACUGGUUGUUUGCGAUAAACAGUGAGCGACUGAGCAAAAGCAUUAAGUAAUCCACCUGGGGAGUACGUCGGCAACGAUGAAACUCAAAGGAAUUGACGGGGGCCCGCACAAGCGGAGGAACAUGUGGUUUAAUUCGAUGAUACGCGAGGAACCUUACCCGGGAUAGAACGUCUGUUGCAUAAUGGUGAAAGUCAUUAGUCGCAAGACAGCAGGCGAGGUGCUGCAUGGUUGUCGUCAGCUCGUGCCGUGAGGUGUCGGGUUAAGUCCCAUAACGAGCGCAACCCCUGCCAACAGUUGCCAUCAAGUAGAGUUGGGCACUCUGUUGGGACAGCCGGUGUAAACCGCGAGGAAGGCGGGGAUGACGUCAAAUCAGCACGGCCCUUACAUCCGGGGCUACACACGUGUUACAAUGGCCAUUACAGAGGGCAGCAAAAUAGUGAUAUAGAGCGAAUCCUCAAAAAUGGUCCUAGUUCGGAUCGGAGUCUGCAACCCGACUCCGUGAAGCCGGAUUCGCUAGUAAUCGCGCAUCAGCCACGGCGCGGUGAAUACGUUCCCGGGCCUUGUACACACCGCCCGUCAAGCCAUGGAAGCUGGGGGUACCUGAAGUAUGUAACCGCAAGGAGCGUCCUAGGGUAAAACGCGGUGACUGGGGCU
Molecule: ribosomal RNA, 1446 nt
Filed under: uncultured Rikenellaceae bacterium
Lineage: Bacteria; Pseudomonadati; Bacteroidota; Bacteroidia; Bacteroidales; Rikenellaceae
Description: bacterial SSU rRNA
Rfam family: Bacterial small subunit ribosomal RNA
Source: RNAcentral